Molecule: long non-coding RNA, 565 nt
Organism: Malania oleifera
Lineage: Eukaryota; Viridiplantae; Streptophyta; Magnoliopsida; Santalales; Ximeniaceae
Exons: 2
Source: RefSeq, a predicted model, not a curated record
GGCACAUGCUAGGUCAGUUCAAAAUGCGGCCAAUCUUGGCACAGCCCCAGAUCCAUUUGAGUCAAUUCCACUACUUACCUGGUAUGACAAGAUAGAGGAGAGGGUCAAAAAACAAGCAAGGGAAGAUAUUGGAUGGUAAAAAUUAAGGAUCGACGUCUCUCCGAACCCAAUAGGACGUGAUUCAGUGGUAAAUGCUGACAAGGGAUUGAAAGAAGUCUUGUGCUCGAUUCCCUACAGAAUCAUUAUUGGGUUGUUCGGUAUUGGCUAUGACGGGUAUGGUCAGCCAGCUCACCUCGGGUUUGACGAGAAGCGAAAUCGGGUGAAAAUUGGCGACUUAUAGUAGAUGCUGAACCUGCUACGCCAUUGACUAUGACUAAGAGGGGGGCGGGCGCGGGCUUACGUACUUACCUCGCUUGCCAGCAUUCGCGCUUCUGGGAGGGUUGGCUCAGCUUAUCAUGCUAAAAGAAGUAAGCAUGUGAGCUUCUCGCUUUUUAGUCCCCCAUUUUAUAUUUAUUAAAAAUAAAAUAAAACUUUUGAGAGUUAUAAGAGCUUCAAAACUUAAUAU